RNAcentral lists this ribosomal RNA (1048 nucleotides) under uncultured Bacteroides sp. RNAcentral describes it as "bacterial SSU rRNA". It matches the Rfam family "Bacterial small subunit ribosomal RNA", at positions 137 to 1186 of the family's 1533-position model. The record is from RNAcentral. Lineage: Bacteria; Pseudomonadati; Bacteroidota; Bacteroidia; Bacteroidales; Bacteroidaceae.
UCUUGGCCAGCCUUCUGAAAGGGAGAUUAAUACAAGAUGUUAUCAUGAGUAAGCAUUUUCGCAUGAUUAAAGGUUUACCGGUGUAAGAUGGGGAUGCGUUCCAUUAGAUAGUAGGCGGGGUAACGGCCCACCUAGUCUUCGAUGGAUAGGGGUUCUGAGAGGAAGGUCCCCCACAUUGGAACUGAGACACGGUCCAAACUCCUACGGGAGGCAGCAGUGAGGAAUAUUGGUCAAUGGACGAGAGUCUGAACCAGCCAAGUAGCGUGAAGGAUGAAGGUUCUAUGGAUUGUAAACUUCUUUUAUACGGGAAUAAACGAAUCCACGCGUGGAUUUUUGCAUGUACCGUAUGAAUAAGGAUCGGCUAACUCCGUGCCAGCAGCCGCGGUAAUACGGAGGAUCCGAGCGUUAUCCGGAUUUAUUGGGUUUAAAGGGAGCGUAGAUGGGUUGUUAAGUCAGUUGUGAAAGUUUGCGGCUCAACCGUAAAAUUGCAAUUGAUACUGGCAGUCUUGAGUACAGUUGAGGCAGGCGGAAUUCGUGGUGUAGCGGUGAAAUGCUUAGAUAUCACGAAGAACUCCGAUUGCGAAGGCAGCUUACUAACCUGUAACUAACAUUGAUGCUCGAAAGUGUGGGUAUCAAACAGGAUUAGAUACCCUGGUAGUCCACACGGUAAACGAUGAAUACUCGCUGUAGGCGAUAUACAGUCUGCGGCCAAGCGAAAGCAUUAAGUAUUCCACCUGGGGAGUACGCCGGCAACGGUGAAACUCAAAGGAAUUGACGGGGGCCCGCACAAGCGGAGGAACAUGUGGUUUAAUUCGAUGAUACGCGAGGAACCUUACCCGGGCCUAAAUUGCAACCGAAUAUGGCGGAAACGCUAUAGCUAGCAAUAGCGGUUGUGAAGGUGCUGCAUGGUUGUCGUCAGCUCGUGCCGUGAGGUGUCGGCUUAAGUGCCAUAACGAGCGCAACCCUUGCCGAUAGUUACUAACAGGUUAUGCUGAGGACUCUGUCGGGACUGCCAUCGUAAGAUGUGAGGAAGGGNGGGGAUGACGUC